AUGUAUGUGUCUCCUAUCAAUCAUGGUCCAGGAUCUGUACAUAACAUCUUUCUAUAGAGCUGGAAGAUCCAGCAGGCAAAGGGUUAAAGCCUUCCUAGGAGAUCAGUCACGUGCACCUAGUAUUGACUGAGUAUUAGGUCAGCUGUCUCUGUGACGUGUACGCUGCGCGCCGCUCUCCUCAGGUUGUUCACAGCCCUAUACUGUGACGUAGCGCUGGGUGUUGCCUGGCAACACGUCCAAAUCUCUCAGUGUGCGGUGAAGCGCGGCAGCUGUAAUGACGUCUCUGCACUUCCUGUCAUGCGCACUGUUUCCUAAUAGAUGUCUCCAUUACAGUGAGCUAUUGCUGUGCUCGAAACCUCGCUGUUUUGCUGCACAUAUUAUAGCAGAAUUUAAAAAAAAGACUGCUCUGGGAAUUGAAAUAUAAUAAAGUCUAAACAAGAUCUAAAAUGCCUUCGUGCUUGGUGAAUAAAUGUCUAAGUAAAACAGGCAGAAAGGGACAAAGUCGUGAAAUAGCGUUGCACAGGUUUCCAAAUGACCCUAUGAGGAUCAGAUGCUGGCUACUACAGACCGGGCAGAACUUUCAGAAUUUAGAAUCUUUGGUCAAAAUGAUCCAUGAGGGACAAAAGCAAACUAAAUAUUGGCUAUGUUCUAUUCACUUUGCAGCAGAUGCAUACAUUCAUGCUCGAGUUUUAAGGCAAGAUGCUAUUCCCUCUAUUUUUCCUCCCAUAAGGGAAGGGGAGAGCAUUAUUCAAGAAAAUCUUAAAAAAGUACGGCUGCGUGCGAAAAAAAGACCUUUGGAUUGGACAUCGACUAUAAAAAUGGGUGUUCAAUCAUCCAGCACUGCAGCAGGCAUUUUUCCAGAAGAUGCAGAUAUUAGGCAAUUUACAUGGACUGGGAAUAUGGAUGUUCAGUCAUCCAGCACAUCAGAGGACACUUUUCCAAAAGACAUAGAUAUAAAGCCCUUGCAGUGGACUACAAAUGUGGAUAUACAGUCAUCCAGCACAUCAGAAGACACAGACAUCAAGCCCUUGAAAUGGACAUUGACUGCAAAUAUGGACGUUCAGUCGUCCAGCGCAACAGUAAACAGUUUUCCAGAAGAGACGGAUAUCAAACCCUUGCGAUUGACUGGAAAUAUGGAUUUUCAGUCCUCCAGAGCAUUAGUGGACACUUUUCCGGAAGACACAGAUAUCAAGCCCUUGCAAUUGACAUUAACUGGAAAUAUGGAUGUUCAGUCAUCUAGUUCCUCCGUGAACAUUUUUCCAGAAGAGACAGAUAUCAAACCCUUGCGAUUGACUGGAAAUAUGGAUGUUCAGUCAUCCAGGGCAUUAGCGGUCACAUUUCCAGAAGACACAGAUAUCAAGCCCUUGCGAUUGACAUUAACUGGAAACAUGGAUGUUCAGUCAUCCAGUGCCUCCAUAAACAUUUUUCCAGAAGACACAGAUCACAAACCCCUGCAAUUGACUGGAAAUAUGGGUGUCCAGUCAUCCAGAGCAUUAGUGGACACUUUUCCGGAAGGCACCGAUAUCAAGCCCUUUCAGUGGACUACAAAUGUGGAUAUACAGUCGCCCAGCACAUCAGAAGACACAGAUAUCAAGCCUUCGCAAUUGACGUUGACUGCAAAUAUGAAUGUUCAGUCGUCCAACACAUCAGCGGCCAUUUUUCAAGAAGACACAGAUAUCAAACCCGACAUUUCUAAGCCAAGUUGUUGUACUAUUGGGACACAAACAGAAUUUGCCUUAUGUAACUCAACAGUAAAAUUUUUCGAUCAGGAAGACAAACCUCCUUCUGAUCCUGUAGUUACAGAGACACCCGUCCUAGGCCUACAGGGUCCCGUAUUGUCAACAACUAUGGGACCAACAGAAAAAAUCGCUUUAGUGGAUCUUUACUGGACACCCAGGAUUUUGCUCCUCCCUUGAGAAAUAGGCCACAUGUUAACACUGCACUGUUAAAGGAAUCUUAACGGGAUCUUUCUGAGGAGCUAGUUUUUUUUUUUUUUUUUCUUCUUCUUCUAACCGUCCUGAAGAUGAACCACAAGAUCAAGAUCUAAAAUGCCUGCGUGUUUGGUGAACAGAUGUCUGAAUAGAACCGGCAGAAAGGGACAAAGUCGUGAAAUAGUCUUGCAUAAAUUUCCAAAUGAUCCUAUGAGGAUCAGAUGCUGGCUACUACAGACCGGGCAGAACUUUCAAAACUUGGAAUCUUUGGUCAAAAUGAUCCAUGAGGGACAAAAGAAAAAUAAAUAUUGGCUAUGUUCCAGUCACUUUGCCACAGAUGCAUACGUUCAUGCUCGAGUUUUAAGGCAAGAUGCUAUUCCCUCUAUUUUUCCUCCCAUAAGGGAAGGGGAGAGCAUUAUUCAAGAAAGUCUGAAAAAAGUACGGGUGCGUAGUAACAAAAGACCUUUGGAAUGGACAUUGACUGAAAAUAUGAGUGUUCAAUCGUUCAACACCUCAGCGGGACUUUUCCCCCAAGACACAGGUAUAAGGCAAUUUACAUGGACUGGGAAUAUGGAUGUACAGUCAUCCAGCACAUCAGCGGACACUUUUCCAGAAGGCAUAGAUAUAAAGCCCUUGCAGUGGACUACAAAUGUGGAUAUACAGUCAUCCAGCACAUCAGAAGACACAGACAUCAAGCCCUCACAAUUGACAUUGACUGCAAAUAUGGAUGGUGAUUUGUCUAGCGCGUGUGUGAACAUUUUUCCAGAAGACACAGAUAUCAAACCCUUGCAAUUGGCAUUGACUGCAAAUAUGGAUGUUCAGUCGUCCAGCGCAACAGCGGACAUUUUUUCAGAAGACUCCGAUAUCAAGCCCUUGCGAUUGGCUGGAAAUGUGGAUGUUCAGUCUCUCUGUACAAGCGCGGACAUUUUUUCAGAAGACACCGAUAUUAAGCCCGACAUUUCUAAGCCAAAUUGUUGUACGAUUGGGACACAAACGGAAUUCACCCUGUGUAAUUCAACAGUAACAUUUUUUAAUCAGGAAGACAAACCUCCUGCUGAUCCUGUAGGUACAGAGACACCCGUCCUAGGCCAACAGGAUCCAGUAUUGUUGACCACUACGGCACCAACAGGAAAAAUAGCAUUAUUUACUGGACACCCAGGACUUUGCUUCUUUGUUGACAUAAAGACAACAUGUUAAAAGAAUCUGAACCAGAUCUUUUGGAAGAGCUUGGGUAUCUUUUUGUCCCUCCUAUCAGUUCUAAAGAUGAUCAUAAGAUCAAUGUUAGAAGUUUGCAGAUGAUGAUUUAGUAAAAGCCCCCAAAGAAGAAAGAUAACCGCUAUGUUCCACAUGAAUCCAGCAAUAAAAAAUCCGAUAUAUCUGACAAUUCUUUGUUAUUCCAAAAUUGUAAGAGUAGAGUAAGACCUUUUAAAAAUACCUUUUAAUGGAUCUUCCUGCAAAAAUAACUAAAACCUGCUACAGUGGUCAUAAAUUUUAUUUCUUGGAAACUGAUCCCAAAAUAAAUUGAUAAUCUAGUGAGGUGAACUUUCUGAUAUUGGCAGCAAGAUCAGGAUCUGAUGUUAUUUUGUGAUAGUACACUAGUGCUUCUGUUUGUGGUGCAAGAUUGUGGCUCAGGGUGGUUAGAUGUAUAAUUUUGCGACGCUAGGGCACCGUUAACCCACACGCUCCAAGGAUAGGACAGCUUCUCCUGGGCCAGGUGCGGGAUAGUAAAUUCACUGAUGCCAAGUUACAGAUAACUGUCUUUCCUCAGGCAGGAGUAGAUGCUAUAAUCCUUACAGCGCAAAAAAUGAGCCCUCAGACAGCCCUGUAUGCAGAAAAAUAAAAAAAAAUUAUAGGGGCUGAUUUAAAACAGAUAUUUAUUCUGUCUAAAAUGUUUAUUUAUUUAUUUUUUUUAAGCAGUAAGAUAAUAGAAAAGCGUAUGCAUGGGUAUUGUAUUGACUCA
Hyla sarda is the source of this 3891-nucleotide RNA transcript. RefSeq lists it as uncharacterized. The transcript is spliced from 4 exons. NCBI's taxonomy places the organism in Eukaryota, Metazoa, Chordata, Amphibia, Anura, Hylidae. The record is from RefSeq and is a predicted model, not a curated record.